Achroia grisella is the source of this 385-nucleotide long non-coding RNA. RefSeq lists it as uncharacterized. NCBI's taxonomy places the organism in Eukaryota, Metazoa, Arthropoda, Insecta, Lepidoptera, Pyralidae. The transcript has 2 exons. The record is from RefSeq and is a predicted model, not a curated record.
UCAGACCCAUCCGUCGUUCGAUUCUAUUUACACUUUGUAGUAUUUAAUUGUACUGCAUUAUAUAUAUAUUUUUGUUUUCCACUAAAUUUACAGUUCUCAGGCUCGAAUAUGUUUCGUUUACCUUUUGGAGAAAGGGUAGAUCCUAUGGAAGAGAAACGCCAAGCAAGAGAGAACACAAUAAAUAGUGUGAUCACGUUUUGUGUUCUUUGUGCUGCUAUAAGAGCUGCUCCAUUUAUUUUGGAACAGAGUGGUUUCAGUGUAUGAAAUGCUUCAUUGAAAUCUGAAGAGUGGGCAUGUGUUAAAUAUAAUUAUUUCAAAGAAAGUUAUUGUUAUUAAGUUAGAUGAUUAUUUGAAAAUAAAGGUUGUUAUAUGAAAAAAUACUGAA